UACGGGGGGGGCAAGCGUUGUUCGGAAUCACUGGGCGUAAAGGGCGCGUAGGCGGGAUGGCAAGUCGGUCGUGAAAUCCUUCGGCUCAACCGAAGAACGUCGGCCGAUACUGCCGUUCUUGAGGGAUGCAGAGGAGAUUGGAAUUCCCGGUGUAGCGGUGAAAUGUGUAGAGAUCGGGAGGAACACCGGUGGCGAAGGCGGGUCUCUGGGCAUCUCCUGACGCUGAGGCGCGAAAGCGUGGGGAGCAAACGGG
Molecule: ribosomal RNA, 253 nt
Filed under: uncultured bacterium
Lineage: Bacteria
Description: partial 16S ribosomal RNA
Rfam family: Bacterial small subunit ribosomal RNA
Source: RNAcentral